CGUAGGCGGAUCAGAAGUAGGGGUGAAUCCCAGGGCUCAACCCUGGAACUGCCUCCUAAACUCCUGGUCUUGAGUUCGAGAGAGGUGAGUGGAAUUCCAAGUGUAGAGGUGAAAUUCGUAGAUAUUUGGAGGAACACCAGUGGCGAAGGCGGCUCACUGGCUCGAUACUGAC
This 172-nucleotide ribosomal RNA is filed under the name uncultured bacterium. RNAcentral describes it as "partial 16S ribosomal RNA". It matches the Rfam family "Bacterial small subunit ribosomal RNA", at positions 570 to 744 of the family's 1533-position model. The record is from RNAcentral.